UUAGCAAUCCGCCCCUUCGGGGAGCGGGUUGCUGGCCUCCUAUGUUCCUAACGGUCCUCGUCCGCGAGGGCGGGGAAUCAACCGCUAGGAUCGUUUACUUUGAGGAAAUUAGAGUGUUCAAAGCAGGCGUAACUCGCCUCCGAAUACGUUAGCAUGGGAUAAUGGAAUACGACUUCGGUCUUGUUUCGUUGGUUUCGCUUGGCUGAAGUAAUGAUUGAUAGGGACAGUUGGGGGCAUUAGUAUUUAGUUGUCAGAGGUGAAAUUCUAGGAUUUACUAAAGACUGACCAAUGCGAAAGCAUUUGCCAAGGAUGUUUUCAUUAAUCAAGAACGAAAGUAGGGGGAUCGAAGACGAUCAGAUACCGUCGUAGUCUCUACCGUAAACUAUGCCGACCAGGGAUCCGGAGAGUUUGCAUGGAUGACUCCCCGGGCACCUUGUGAGAAAUCAUAAGUGUUUGGGUUUUGGGGGGAGUAUGGUCGCA
This 480-nucleotide ribosomal RNA is filed under the name Vermamoeba vermiformis. Its description in RNAcentral is "SSU rRNA". It matches the Rfam family "Eukaryotic small subunit ribosomal RNA", at positions 724 to 1133 of the family's 1831-position model. The record is from RNAcentral. Lineage: Eukaryota; Tubulinea; Echinamoebida; Vermamoebidae.